RNAcentral lists this ribosomal RNA (402 nucleotides) under uncultured bacterium. RNAcentral describes it as "bacterial SSU rRNA". It matches the Rfam family "Bacterial small subunit ribosomal RNA", at positions 357 to 775 of the family's 1533-position model. The record is from RNAcentral.
GGGAACAUUGCACAAUGGGCGAAAGCCUGAUGCAGCAACGCCGCGUGCGCGAUGACGGCCUUCGAGUUGUAAAGCGCUUUUCGGGGAGAUGAGGAAGGACAGUAUCCCCGGAAUAAGGCUCGGCUAACUACGUGCCAGCAGCCGCGGUAACACGUAGGAGCCAAGCGUUAUCCGAAUUCACUGGGCGUAAAGCGCGUGUAGGCGGCUUGGUAAGUUGGAUGUGAAAGCUCCUGGCUCAACUGGGAGAGGACGUUCAAUACUGCCGGGCUAGAGGGCGACAGAGGGAGGUGGCAUUCCCGGUGUAGUGGUGAAAUGCGUAGAUAUCGGGAGGAACACCAGUGGCGAAAGCGGCCUCCUGGGUCGCACCUGACGCUCAGACGCGAAAGCUAGGGGAGCGAACGG